AAUAGAUACCCCGGUAGUCCACGCCGUAAACGGUGGGCACUAGGUGUGGGGACCAUUCCACGGUCUCUGCGCCGCAGCUAACGCAUUAAGUGCCCCGCCUGGGGAGUACGGCCGCAAGGCUAAAAACUCAAAGGAAUUGACGGGGGCCCGCACAAGCGGCGGAGCAUGCGGCUUAAUUCGAAGCAACGCGAAGAACCUUACCUAGGCUUGACAUGCAGGGAAAUCUGGCAGAGAUGCCAGGUCCUUCGGGGCCUUGCACAGGUGGUGCAUGGCUGUCGUCAGCUCGUGUCGUGAGAUGUUGGGUUAAGUCCCGCAACGAGCGCAACCCUCGUUCUAUGUUGCCAGCGGUUCGGCCGGGGACUCAUAGAAGACUGCCGGGGUCAACUCGGAGGAAGGUGGGGAUGACGUCAAGUCAUCAUGCCCCUUAUGUCUAGGGCUGCACGCAUGCUACAAUGGUCGGUACAAAGGGCUGCGAUACCGUAAGGUGGAGCGAAUCCCAAAAGCCGGCUCAGUUCGGAUUGGGGU
Molecule: ribosomal RNA, 525 nt
Filed under: uncultured bacterium
Lineage: Bacteria
Description: bacterial SSU rRNA
Rfam family: Bacterial small subunit ribosomal RNA
Source: RNAcentral